GACGAACGCUGGCGGCGUGCUUAACACAUGCAAGUCGAACGGUGAAAGGGAGCUUGCUCCCUGGAUCAGUGGCGAACGGGUGAGUAACACGUGGGCAACCUGCCCUAGACUUCGGGAUAACGCUUCGAAAGAGGUGCUAAUACCGGAUACGAACUCCUUGGGCAUCCUUGGAGUUGGAAAGUUUUUCGGUCUGGGAUGGGCCCGCGGCCUAUCAGCUUGUUGGUGAGGUAACGGCUCACCAAGGCGACGACGGGCAGCCGGCCUGAGAGGGCAACCGGCCACACUGUGACUGAGACACGGCCCAGACUCCUACGGGAGGCAGCAGUGGGGAAUAUGGCGCAAUGGGCGAAAGCCUGACGCAGCAACGCCGCGUGAGGGAUGACGGCCUUCGGGUUGUAAACCUCUUUCAGCAGGGAAGAAGCGAAAGUGACGGUACCUGCAGAAGAAGCACCGGCUAACUACGUGCCAGCCGCCGCAGUAA
This 481-nucleotide ribosomal RNA is filed under the name uncultured bacterium. Its description in RNAcentral is "partial 16S ribosomal RNA". It matches the Rfam family "Bacterial small subunit ribosomal RNA", at positions 28 to 523 of the family's 1533-position model. The record is from RNAcentral.